AACGCACGAGACCUGCGGACCUGCGGAGGGAUCAUUAACGAAUAUCUAUGGCGUUGGUUGUAGCUGGCUCUUAGGAGCAUUUUGCGCACGCCCGUCAUUCAUAUCAUCUUUCCACCUGUGAACUAUGUGUAGGCCUGGAUACCCCUCGCUUUGGCAACAAGGCGGAUACAAGGAUUGCUGCGUCGCAAGGCCGGCUCUCUUUGAAUUUCCAGGUUCUAUGUCUUUUACACACCCCAUUUG
Molecule: unclassified non-coding RNA, 240 nt
Filed under: soil metagenome
Description: partial contains 5.8S ribosomal RNA, internal transcribed spacer 2, and large subunit ribosomal RNA
Source: RNAcentral